Molecule: ribosomal RNA, 250 nt
Filed under: uncultured bacterium
Lineage: Bacteria
Description: partial 16S ribosomal RNA
Rfam family: Bacterial small subunit ribosomal RNA
Source: RNAcentral
ACGUAGGUGGCAAGCGUUGUCCGGAAUUAUUGGGCGUAAAGCGCGCGCAGGCGGCUUCUUAAGUCCAUCUUAAAAGUGCGGGGCUUAACCCCGUGAUGGGAUGGAAACUGGGAGGCUGGAGUAUCGGAGAGGAAAGUGGAAUUCCUAGUGUAGUGGUGAAAUGCGUAGAGAUUAGGAAGAACACCGGUGGCGAAGGCGACUUUCUGGACGACAACUGACGCUGAGGCGCGAAAGCGUGGGGAGCAAACAG